RNAcentral lists this ribosomal RNA (497 nucleotides) under uncultured bacterium. RNAcentral's name for it is "partial 16S ribosomal RNA". It matches the Rfam family "Bacterial small subunit ribosomal RNA", at positions 28 to 507 of the family's 1533-position model. The record is from RNAcentral.
GAUGAACGCUGGCGGCGUGCCUAAUACAUGCAAGUCGAGCGAACAGACGAGGAGCUUGCUCCUCUGACGUUAGCGGCGGACGGGUGAGUAACACGUGGAUAACCUACCUAUAAGACUGGGAUAACUUCGGGAAACCGGAGCUAAUACCGGAUAAUAUAUUGAACCGCAUGGUUCAAUAGUGAAAGACGGUUUUGCUGUCACUUAUAGAUGGAUCCGCGCCGCAUUAGCUAGUUGGUAAGGUAACGGCUUACCAAGGCAACGAUGCGUAGCCGACCUGAGAGGGUGAUCGGCCACACUGGAACGUGGCCACGGUCCAGACUCCUACGGGAGGCGGCAGUAGGGAAUCUUCCGCAAUGGGCGAAAGCUUGACGGAGCAACGCCGCGUGAGUGAUGAAGGUCUUCGGAUCGUAAAACUCUGUUAUUAGGGAAGAACAAAUGUGUAAGUAACUAUGCACGUCUUGACGGUACCUAAUCAGAAAGCCACGGCUAACUACGUG